GACGUAGGGCGCGAGCGUUGUCCGGAUUUAUUGGGCGUAAAGGGCUCGUAGGCGGUCCGUCACGUCGGGAGUGAAAACUCGGGGCUCAACCCCGAGCCUGCUUUCGAUACGGGCGGACUAGAGGUAGGUAGGGGAGAACGGAAUUCCUGGUGUAGCGGUGGAAUGCGCAGAUAUCAGGAGGAACACCGGUGGCGAAGGCGGUUCUCUGGGCCUUACCUGACGCUGAGGAGCGAAAGCGUGGGGAGCGAACAGG
Molecule: ribosomal RNA, 253 nt
Filed under: uncultured bacterium
Lineage: Bacteria
Description: partial 16S ribosomal RNA
Rfam family: Bacterial small subunit ribosomal RNA
Source: RNAcentral